This 450-nucleotide ribosomal RNA is filed under the name uncultured bacterium. RNAcentral's name for it is "partial 16S ribosomal RNA". It matches the Rfam family "Bacterial small subunit ribosomal RNA", at positions 354 to 796 of the family's 1533-position model. The record is from RNAcentral.
GUGGGGAAUAUUGGACAAUGGGCGCAAGCCUGAUCCAGCCAUACCGCGUGGGUGAAGAAGGCCUUCGGGUUGUAAAGCCCUUUUGUUGGGAAAGAAAUCCUGUCGGUUAAUACCUGGCGGGGAUGACGGUACCCAAAGAAUAAGCACCGGCUAACUUCGUGCCAGCAGCCGCGGUAAUACGAAGGGUGCAAGCGUUACUCGGAAUUACUGGGCGUAAAGCGUGCGUAGGUGGUGGUUUAAGUCCGUUGUGAAAGCCCUGGGCUGAACCUGGGAAGUGCAGGGGAUACUGGAUCACUAGAGUGUGGUAGAGGGAUGCGGAAUUUCUGGUGUAGCAGUGAAAUGCGUAGAGAUCAGAAGGAACAUCCGUGGCGAAGGCGGCUCACUGGCUCGAUACUGACGCUGAGGUGCGAAAGCGUGGGGAGCAAACAGGAUUAGAAACCCUUGUAGUCC